This is a long non-coding RNA of Equus quagga, 336 nucleotides long. RefSeq lists it as uncharacterized. The record is from RefSeq and is a predicted model, not a curated record. Lineage: Eukaryota; Metazoa; Chordata; Mammalia; Perissodactyla; Equidae. The transcript is spliced from 3 exons.
AACUGUGGUCUCCGCCUUCGCAUCCCCAGGGAUGUCUUCGGUAUCUGUGCGGUUGCCCUGCGCCCACCCUGCUUCGAGUUCAAUGAUUGAGAUGCUUCACGAAUGUGAACGCCAGACUCGCCCGUGGGAAAUGUGAAAUUUCAGCCUGACGACCACAGGAGAGAAGUCAAGCAAUAUAGUUUUGCCUAUGUAAGGCAUCUAGCCUCCAGCACACCUUCUCCGUCAAAUCUUCUGUGUUCUGCUUUAUACGUAAUGUGUGGUUGGAGCGGCUAAAAGUCGACUGAAGCGAUUCAUCUUGGGUGUACACCGGAUGCAUAUUGUUUGGAAAUUCCCUGU